This 492-nucleotide ribosomal RNA is filed under the name uncultured bacterium. Its description in RNAcentral is "partial 16S ribosomal RNA". It matches the Rfam family "Bacterial small subunit ribosomal RNA", at positions 29 to 507 of the family's 1533-position model. The record is from RNAcentral.
AGUGAACGCUGGCGGUAGGCCUAACACAUGCAAGUCGAACGGCAGCACAGUAAGAGCUUGCUCUUACGGGUGGCGAGUGGCGGACGGGUGAGGAAUACAGCGGAAUCUACUUUUUCGUGGGGGAUAACGUAGGGAAACUUACGCUAAUACCGCAUACGACCUACGGGUGAAAGCAGGGGAUCUUCGGACCUUGCGCGAUUGAAUGAGCCGAUGUCGGAUGAGCUAGUUGGCGGGGUAAAGGCCCACCAAGGCGACGAUCCGUAGCUGGUCUGAGAGGAUGAUCAGCCACACUGGAACUGAGACACGGUCCAGACUCCUACGGGAGGCAGCAGUGGGGAAUAUUGGACAAUGGGCGCAAGCCUGAUCCAGCCAUACCGCGUGGGUGAAGAAGGCCUUCGGGUUGUAAAGCCCUUUUGUUGGGAAAGAAAAGCAGCAGGUUAAUACCCCGCUGUUCUGACGGUACCCAAAGAAUAAGCACCGGCUAACUUCGUG